AGAGCGAACGCUGGCGGCAGGCCUAACACAUGCAAGUCGAGCGCCCGUAGCAAUACGGGAGCGGCAGACGGGAGAGUAACACGUGGGAACGCGCCCUUCGGUUCGGAAUAACUCAGGGAAACUUGAGCUAAUACCGGAUACGCCCUUACGGGGAAAGAUUUAUUGCCGAAGGAACGGCCCGCGUCCGAUUAGCUUGUUGGUGAGGUAAUGGCUCACCAAGGCGACGAUCGGUAGCUGGUCUGAGAGGAUGACCAGCCUCACUGGGACUGAGACACGGCCCAGACUCCUACGGGAGGCAGCAGUGGGGAAUAUUGGACAAUGGGCGCAAGCCUGAUCCAGCCAUGCCGCGUGGAUGAUGAAGGCCCUAGGGUUGUAAAGUCCUUUUAACGGGAAGAUAAUGACGGUACCGUAGAAUAAGCCCGGCUAACUUCGCGCCAGCACGCCGC
This 446-nucleotide ribosomal RNA is filed under the name uncultured bacterium. RNAcentral's name for it is "SSU rRNA". It matches the Rfam family "Bacterial small subunit ribosomal RNA", at positions 26 to 518 of the family's 1533-position model. The record is from RNAcentral.